AACGAACGCUGGCGGCAUGCCUAACACAUGCAAGUCGAACGAAGCCUUCGGGCUUAGUGGCGCACGGGUGCGUAACGCGUGGGAAUCUGCCCUUGGGUUCGGAAUAACGGUUAGAAAUGACUGCUAAUACCGGAUGAUGUCUUCGGACCAAAGACUUAUCGCCCAAGGAUGAGCCCGCGUAGGAUUAGGUAGUUGGUGGGGUAAUGGCCCACCAAGCCGACGAUCCUUAGCUGGUCUGAGAGGAUGAUCAGCCACACUGGGACUGAGACACGGCCCAGACUCCUACGGGAGGCAGCAGUGGGGAAUAUUGGACAAUGGGCGAAAGCCUGAUCCAGCAAUGCCGCGUGAGUGAUGAAGGCCUUAGGGUUGUAAAGCUCUUUUACCAGGGAUGAUAAUGACAGUACCUGGAGAAUAAGCUCCGGCUAACUCCGUGCCAGCCGCCGCGGUAA
Molecule: ribosomal RNA, 449 nt
Filed under: uncultured bacterium
Lineage: Bacteria
Description: partial 16S ribosomal RNA
Rfam family: Bacterial small subunit ribosomal RNA
Source: RNAcentral